UGGCUGUGCCGGACGGCUCCCCUGCCCAGAAUGGUGGCUUCACACAAAAAAGUUAUACUCAACCAGAAGAAUGAAGCUGUUAACAAAGAUCGAAGACUCAUAUCCCCAGGAGAUGGAAUUUUCAAGGCGCUGGACAAUGAUUUUGGAAUUCUCUGUCAGUGUCACCCACAAGCUCACAACACCAUGAACAGUAAGAACCAGAAGAUGCCCAUAUAUUCUUAAUAGAGAAUCAGCACCAUCCCAGCCAUGAAGCUCAGCUACAACCUCAAAUAACCCAACUCCUCACACGGACUGACCCAGCCACAUUCAGCUGACUGAAAGCACAAGAUGUCCUGCCAGCCAGGGUGCAUUACCUCACAGUGGCCCUAAGAGGCAUGCUCAGAAGCAUAUUUUGCCAUUCCUUUCAACAGAUGCCAAGUGUGCCUAACCUAAUAGCCGCUCCCAACAACACCGACAUACUUUACCUAGCGGCGGGGGCUGGAGCCAUCUUCCCAAACUGUAAGCUUAUGCUUCAAAUAAGUCAUUUGGUGUAAGUCAAUAGAUAUUCUUUCCUAAAAUUCUUUCCUAAUACUCUCACAAUGUAGUACAAAACCACAAUGUGGUACAAAAAUGAUAUUCUUUCCUACUACUCUCAAGAGCUAUAAAAAAAAAAAAUAAUCUUACCCUGCUAUUUGCCAAGGAAACAGGUAUCGGUGGAAAAGUCGCUCGCUCCCUGUCGCUCUUGAACACAAACAUGGAAUGGGGACUGACUACAAUUGUGCAAAAUCAACCAAUCAAGUUUGUAAUCUAAACCAAAAAAAGUCAUUGGGGAUGGAAGCUGAAGCAAAUUUUUUAACAAAGUUGAAAAAAAUAAUUUCAAGUCAAACAAAACAUUUGAUUAAGUCCAAAAUUCAGUGUUUCAAAAUUUAGAGAUUUUUUUUCACACUUUCAAAAAAAAUUGAAGGAAAAUUCUAAAUGAAAACUCAUUUUCAAUUAUAAAAUAAGUUUCAUUUGGAAAGUGUCUCCAUAAAAUGUGAUUUUCUGUUCAGAAUUUUUUUUUAAAACAAACCAUUUCUGAAAUGUGUCAAUCAACCCAAAUCUGCAUUUUUCAGCAAUAUUAUUUCACGUAAUUCUAGACGUAACCACUAGCUGUUUUUGGAUGGGUUGGCCUGAGCAUACCAUUUUGGAAAGACAUCUAACAUCUGCAACAAAUAUCAGCCUUAGUUAACAGUCACAUGUUGGAAGGAAUCUUUCACUCAAAUACAUCAUCCUAUCUUAUCAAUUUCAAAAUUAUUUUCCAUUAGUCCGAUUUAUUUGGGGAAGACAUUUUUCUCAGCCCGCCACUGUUGUCCAGAUGUUACUGAUCACAGUAAAUGUCCACAGCACUAUAUCUGGAAGAUUAAUUACUGGGAUUUUGUUUCUUUUGCAGAUCAUCUAAAGAGAAACAUUGAUGAACUGUCUAAAUUUAGGUCCCUAAUAUGUGCCAGUCUACGCAGUGCUGUGAGGAGCCAACCAGGGCUUGACAAUGGUUAGCAUGUCUUAUAUGGUAAGUUGUAAUGUUUGAGAUUGAGCUCUGAGACAUGAAAUUGACCACAGGUGUAUCUCUACAGCUGAUGAAAUGUCCCUGAGGUUCUGUGUGCAGAAAAUGCAUGUGUCAUAUUGCAGUGUUGCUUCUGCUGUUUUAUAUAUUCUGGGCCUGAUGUUCAGAGAUGCUGAACUCCAGCUAAUGCCAAAUGCUGCAAGUGCUCAACCAUUCUGAAAAACAGAUCCUACUGAUUUUGGGAAAUGUGAUGCUAUCAGCAGGCCUUUUAUACUUCAUUGUAGAUUUCUCAUUACGUAGCUGGCUAGAGACAUCUCUUUGGUCAGGACCUGUCUGCUCUGACAUCCACUGCCAAUAUAGUACAGCACACUGCUUACUUAUUAUGUGACGAAUAUGUCCAUUUCUUUGUGGGACAUGCAGUUUCUGGGAUCAUACUUCAGGAGAGUAUCUGUUACAUAUACACAUUUAGGUCCUCUAGUUUAAGAUAGCAAUACCCUCAUUAGUAUUCAUUUCACCAAUUGUGAUCUUCAUUCCCAUGCAUUAAACAGUUUUUUAAAAGUAAUCAACAAGCCUGUAAAUCACAUAUAUGUAUUAUUUAAGAUGAACUUACAUAAAUAUGCCACGACUGCAUCUGGAUACAGGAUCUCCUCAUCAUUAUAGGCCACAUUUAGGGAGGUAUUGCGUUGCAUGGUCUGGUUCAGUAUUUUAUUCACUCAUUGUUGGAGAAGCAGGCUAUACAUUUGUAUCUAUACUUCAUAUUUUACUUACCUUUCCCCCCUCCCUUUAGUGCAAGUUGGGGGAUCUUUGCCAACCUCAGAUUUGUGGGAAAACUUCACAUGUAGCCAGGCAUAUUGUCUAGCUAUCAUCUGACAGUCUGAAUAUGCUGAAGUGGUCACACCUUCCUCACUUAUUUGAAGGUUGAGUCCAAUGUAUUGGUAGGAUAUACACAAACCAUGUGUGUUGUUACAGUGACACUUUAAACAGUUCAAUAGUAUAAGGACUGCAGUCUGGUUUCUUCACAUAAAAACGGAAAGCGACUGUCUAGGAAGGAAUACUGCAGAAAGGGAUCUAGGGAUCAUAAUGGACCACAAGU
Molecule: non-coding RNA, 2612 nt
Organism: Pelodiscus sinensis (Chinese soft-shelled turtle)
Lineage: Eukaryota; Metazoa; Chordata; Testudines; Trionychidae
Source: RefSeq, a predicted model, not a curated record